CGAACGCUGGCGGCGUGCCUAACACAUGCAAGUCUGGGAGAAAAGGGUAGCAAUAUCCUGAGUAAACCGGCGAACGGGUGAGUAACACGUAAGCAACCUUCCUUGUGAACGGGAAUAACCCCGCGAAAGCGGGGCUAAUACCCGAUGAUGUUUCGAAGCAGCAUUACUUUGAAACCAAAGGCCCCAAAAGGGCGUCAUAAGAUGGGCUUGCGUCCCAUUAGAUAGUUGGCGGGGUAACGGCCCACCAAGUCGACGAUGGGUAGCUGGUCUGAGAGGACGAUCAGCCACACUGGAACUGAGACACGGUCCAGACUUCUACGGAAGGCAGCAGUGAGGAAUAUUGCUCAAUGGGCGAAAGCCUGAAGCAGCGACGCCGCGUGAGGGAUGAAAUCCGUUAGGAUGUAAACCUCUUUUGCAGGGGAUGAAUGUCCCGACUUGUCGGGAUUGACCGUACCCUGUGAAUAAGCACCGGCCAACUACGU
RNAcentral lists this ribosomal RNA (482 nucleotides) under uncultured bacterium. Its description in RNAcentral is "bacterial SSU rRNA". It matches the Rfam family "Bacterial small subunit ribosomal RNA", at positions 30 to 506 of the family's 1533-position model. The record is from RNAcentral.